AGAGUUUGAUCCUGGCUCAGAACGAACGCUGGCGGCGUGCUUAACACAUGCAAGUCGAACGCGAAAGUUUUCUCUUGAGAAGACGAGUAGAGUGGCGCACGGGUGAGUAACGCGUAAAUAAUCUACCCCUGCAUCCGGGAUAACCCACCGAAAGGUGAGCUAAUACGGGAUACGUUCUUUUGAUCGCGAGAUCUUAAGAAGAAAGGUGGCCUCUGAUAUAAGCUACUGUGCGGGGAGGAGUUUGCGUACCAUUAGCUAGUUGGUAGGGUAAUGGCCUACCAAGGCAUCGAUGGUUAGCGGGUCUGAGAGGAUGAUCCGCCACACUGGAACUGGAACACGGACCAGACUCCUACGGGAGGCAGCAGUGAGGAAUAUUGCGCAAUGGGGGCAACCCUGACGCAGCGACGCCGCGUGGAUGAUGAAGGCCUUCGGGUCGUAAAAUCCUGUCAGAUGGAAAGAAGUGUGUAUGUGUUAAUAUCACAUACACUUGACGGUACCAUCAAAGGAAGCACCGGCUAACUCCGUGCCAGCAGCCGCGGUAAUACGGAGGGUGCAAGCGUUGUUCGGAAUUACUGGGCGUAAAGCGCGCGUAGGUGGGCUGUUAUGUCAGAUGUGAAAGUCCACGGCUCAACCGUGGAAGUGCAUUUGAAACUGGCAGACUUGAGUACUGGAGGGGGUAGUGGAAUUCCCGGUGUAGAGGUGAAAUUCGUAGAUAUCGGGAGGAAUACCGGUGGCGAAGGCGACUACCUGGCCAGAUACUGACACUGAGGUGC
RNAcentral lists this ribosomal RNA (773 nucleotides) under uncultured bacterium. Its description in RNAcentral is "bacterial SSU rRNA". It matches the Rfam family "Bacterial small subunit ribosomal RNA", at positions 8 to 754 of the family's 1533-position model. The record is from RNAcentral.